RNAcentral lists this ribosomal RNA (468 nucleotides) under uncultured bacterium. RNAcentral describes it as "partial 16S ribosomal RNA". It matches the Rfam family "Bacterial small subunit ribosomal RNA", at positions 28 to 507 of the family's 1533-position model. The record is from RNAcentral.
GACGAACGCUGGCGGCGUGCUUAACACAUGCAAGUCGAACGGAAAGGCCCUGCUUUUGUGGGGUGCUCGAGUGGCGAACGGGUGAGUAACACGUGAGUAACCUGCCCUUGACUUUGGGAUAACUUCAGGAAACUGGGGCUAAUACCGGAUAGGAGCUCCUGCUGCAUGGUGGGGGUUGGAAAGUUUCGGCGGUUGGGGAUGGACUCGCGGCUUAUCAGCUUGUUGGUGGGGUAGUGGCUUACCAAGGCUUUGACGGGUAGCCGGCCUGAGGGGGUGACCGGCCACAUUGGGACUGAGAUACGGCCCAGACUCCUACGGGAGGCAGCAGUGGGGAAUAUUGCACAAUGGGCGGAAGCCUGAUGCAGCAACGCCGCGUGCGGGAUGACGGCCUUCGGGUUGUAAACCGCUUUCGCCUGUGACGAAGCGUGAGUGACGGUAAUGGGUAAAGAAGCACCGGCUAAUUACGUG